RNAcentral lists this transfer RNA (76 nucleotides) under Rhodospirillaceae bacterium. Its description in RNAcentral is "tRNA-Phe". It matches the Rfam family "tRNA". From Rfam's summary of the family: Transfer RNA (tRNA) molecules are approximately 80 nucleotides in length. Their secondary structure includes four short double-helical elements and three loops (D, anti-codon, and T loops). The record is from RNAcentral. Lineage: Bacteria; Pseudomonadati; Pseudomonadota; Alphaproteobacteria; Rhodospirillales; Rhodospirillaceae. RNAcentral also lists the same sequence under 3 other names.
GCCCAGGUAGCUCAGUUGGUAGAGCACAGCACUGAAAAUGCUGGUGUCGGCUGUUCAAAUCAGCCCCUGGGCACCA